Molecule: long non-coding RNA, 319 nt
Organism: Raphanus sativus (radish)
Lineage: Eukaryota; Viridiplantae; Streptophyta; Magnoliopsida; Brassicales; Brassicaceae
Exons: 3
Source: RefSeq, a predicted model, not a curated record
GUAGAGUCCAAGAAAGUAUGUUACAUAACAUACUUUCCAGAGUCAUGUCGUGAGUUUCACCUCGACUAAGAGGGGGUCUCUGUAGAGGCAGUGGUGGUUUCGGGAAAGGAGAAGGUCUCCUUGUGUUAUAGCUUCACUGUACUCAUCAUGUCCAUACUUUCAAAAGUCACUGAGCCUCCAUGAACGAAUAAACGGAAGCUGAGGAGGGAGCAGCUAGUUUGGAAGAUGAGGAAAAUGGUUUAGAAAAACUUCUUUUGAAUAUAAUCAAGAAUCAGAGCAAGUAAGAACAAUAAUAUAUGAUCAAGGACUGGUAUUACAC